RNAcentral lists this ribosomal RNA (439 nucleotides) under uncultured soil bacterium. Its description in RNAcentral is "bacterial SSU rRNA". It matches the Rfam family "Bacterial small subunit ribosomal RNA", at positions 26 to 436 of the family's 1533-position model. The record is from RNAcentral.
AGAACGAACGCUGGCGGCGUGGAUAAGACAUGCAAGUCGAACGCUUGUUAUAGGGUAGCAAUAUUCUGUAGCAGGAGUGGCGGAAGGGUGCGUAACAUGUGGGUAAUCUGCCGUGAAGGCUGGGAUAACUUGCUGAAAGGCGAGCUAAUACCGGAUGAGAUAACUAAGAGGCAGCUUUUGGUUAUGAAAGUUGGGGACUGUAAAAGGCCUGACGCUUCAUGAUGAGCCCGCAACCUAUCAGCUAGUUGGUGAGGUAAAGGCUCACCAAGGCUAAGACGGGUAGCGUGGUCUGAGAGGACGACCAGCCACACUGGAACUGAGAGACGGUCCAGACACUACGGGUGCAGCAGUCGAGUAAUUUUCACAAUGGCGACAAGCCUAGAUGGAGCGACCGCCGCGGUGGGAGUGGAAGGGUCGUUCGGUACCCGUAAACCCGUGU